UUAUAUGUUAAGAAAAGAAAUAGUAUCAUGAGGAAAACUUUCAGAGAAUAGUCUUCUAGGCUGAAAAAGACUUUAGUUAUAACUUAUGAGAAUGCAUCUUUGAGCACUGUCCCGAAAAAAUAUGUUUUUAGUAGGAGGCAGCGUGUACGCACGUUAUAGCGUUGAGGUAUGUUUGUACCAAAAUAAGAUAUUAUAUUUUUUUAUAUAAUAAUUAGAGUGGAACCGCGGAAUAAAAAUUCUGCCUCUAAA
RNAcentral lists this non-coding RNA (249 nucleotides) under Clostridium botulinum. RNAcentral describes it as "T-box sequence". It matches the Rfam family "T-box leader". From Rfam's summary of the family: Uncharged tRNA acts as the effector for transcription antitermination of genes in the T-box leader family. T-boxes are found upstream of many aminoacyl-tRNA synthetase genes and some amino acid biosynthetic genes usually in Gram-positive bacteria. The anticodon of a specific tRNA base pairs to a specifier sequence within the T-box motif, and the NCCA acceptor tail of the tRNA base pairs to a conserved bulge in the T-box antiterminator hairpin. Lineage: Bacteria; Bacillati; Bacillota; Clostridia; Eubacteriales; Clostridiaceae. The record is from RNAcentral.